This is a transfer RNA of Camelus ferus (Wild Bactrian camel), 73 nucleotides long. It matches the Rfam family "tRNA". From Rfam's summary of the family: Transfer RNA (tRNA) molecules are approximately 80 nucleotides in length. Their secondary structure includes four short double-helical elements and three loops (D, anti-codon, and T loops). Further hydrogen bonds mediate the characteristic L-shaped molecular structure. tRNAs have two regions of fundamental functional importance: the anti-codon, which is responsible for specific mRNA codon recognition, and the 3' end, to which the tRNAs corresponding amino acid is attached (by aminoacyl-tRNA synthetases). tRNAs cope with the degeneracy of the genetic code in two manners: having more than one tRNA (with a specific anti-codon) for a particular amino acid; and 'wobble' base-pairing, i.e. permitting non-standard base-pairing at the 3rd anti-codon position. NCBI's taxonomy places the organism in Eukaryota, Metazoa, Chordata, Mammalia, Artiodactyla, Camelidae. The record is from Rfam.
GAGGGUAAAGUUCAAGUGGUAGAGUGCAUGCUUGGCAUGCGUGAGGUCCUGGGUUCAAUCCCCAGCACCUUCU